CCUACGGGUGGCAGCAGUGAGGAAUAUUGGUCAAUGGACGCAGGGCGGAACCAGCAAAGUCGCGUGAGGGAUGACUGUCCUAUGGAUUGUAAACCUCUUUUGUCAGGGAGCAAAGGGCGCCCCGUGUGGCGCUUUGCGAGUCCCUGAAGAAAAAGCAUCGGCUAACUCCGUGCCAGCAGCCGCCGUAAUACGGCGGAUGCGAUCGUUAUCCGGAUUUAUUGGGUUUAAAGGGUGCGCAGGCGGAAUGUCAAGUCAGCGGUAAAAUUUCGGGGCUCAAACCCGUCGUGCCGUUGAACCUGGCGUUCUUGAGUGAGCGAGAAGUAUGCGGAAUGCGGGGUGUAGCGGUGAAAUGCAUAGAUAUAACGCAGAACUCCGAUUGCGAAGGCAGCAUACCGGCGCUCAACUGACGCUCAGGCACGAAAGCGUGGGUAUCGAACAGGAUUAGAUACCCUUGUAGUC
RNAcentral lists this ribosomal RNA (459 nucleotides) under uncultured bacterium. RNAcentral's name for it is "partial 16S ribosomal RNA". It matches the Rfam family "Bacterial small subunit ribosomal RNA", at positions 338 to 795 of the family's 1533-position model. The record is from RNAcentral.